GUCCAUGCCGUAAACGAUGUCUACUAGCCGUUGGGGCCUUUGAGGCUUUAGUGGCGCAGCUAACGCGAUAAGUAGACCGCCUGGGGAGUACGGUCGCAAGACUAAAACUCAAAUGAAUUGACGGGGGCCCGCACAAGCGGUGGAGCAUGUGGUUUAAUUCGAUGCAACGCGAAGAACCUUACCUGGUCUUGACAUAGUAAGAACUUUCCAGAGAUGGAUUGGUGCCUUCGGGAACUUACAUACAGGUGCUGCAUGGCU
Molecule: ribosomal RNA, 258 nt
Filed under: uncultured bacterium
Lineage: Bacteria
Description: partial 16S ribosomal RNA
Rfam family: Bacterial small subunit ribosomal RNA
Source: RNAcentral